AGAGUUUGAUCAUGGCUCAGAUUGAACGCUGGCGGCAUGCUUUACACAUGCAAGUCGAACGGUAACAGGUUAAGCUGACGAGUGGCGAACGGGUGAGUAAUGCAUCGGAACGUGCCCGGUCGUGGGGGAUAACGCAGCGAAAGCUGCGCUAAUACCGCAUACGAUCUGAGGAUGAAAGCGGGGGACCGUAAGGCCUCGCGCGAUCGGAGCGGCCGAUGUCAGAUUAGGUAGUUGGUGGGGUAAAGGCUCACCAAGCCGACGAUCUGUAGCUGGUCUGAGAGGACGACCAGCCACACUGGGACUGAGACACGGCCCAGACUCCUACGGGAGGCAGCAGUGGGGAAUUUUGGACAAUGGGCGCAAGCCUGAUCCAGCAAUGCCGCGUGCAGGAAGAAGGCCUUCGGGUUGUAAACUGCUUUUGUACGGAGCGAAAAGGCUCUCUCUAAUACAGGGGGCUCAUGACGGUACCGUAAGAAUAAGCACCGGCUAACUACGUG
This 497-nucleotide ribosomal RNA is filed under the name uncultured bacterium. RNAcentral's name for it is "bacterial SSU rRNA". It matches the Rfam family "Bacterial small subunit ribosomal RNA", at positions 8 to 507 of the family's 1533-position model. The record is from RNAcentral.